Molecule: ribosomal RNA, 349 nt
Filed under: Exiguobacterium profundum
Lineage: Bacteria; Bacillati; Bacillota; Bacilli; Caryophanales
Description: bacterial SSU rRNA
Rfam family: Bacterial small subunit ribosomal RNA
Source: RNAcentral
CCCCUGACCGGUACAGAGAUGUACCUUCCCUUCGGGGGCAGGGGUGACAGGUGGUGCAUGGUUGUCGUCAGCUCGUGUCGUGAGAUGUUGGGUUAAGUCCCGCAACGAGCGCAACCCUUGUCCUUAGUUGCCAGCAUUUGGUUGGGCACUCUAGGGAGACUGCCGGUGACAAACCGGAGGAAGGUGGGGAUGACGUCAAAUCAUCAUGCCCCUUAUGAGUUGGGCUACACACGUGCUACAAUGGACGGUACAAAGGGCAGCGAAGCCGCGAGGUGGAGCCAAUCCCAGAAAGCCGUUCUCAGUUCGGAUUGCAGGCUGCAACUCGCCUGCAUGAAGUCGGAAUCGUUGG